RNAcentral lists this ribosomal RNA (468 nucleotides) under uncultured bacterium. RNAcentral's name for it is "bacterial SSU rRNA". It matches the Rfam family "Bacterial small subunit ribosomal RNA", at positions 28 to 521 of the family's 1533-position model. The record is from RNAcentral.
GACUAACGCUGGCGGCGUGCCUAACACAUGCAAGUCGAACGAAGCAGCAAUGCUUAGUGGCAGACGGGUGAGUAACGCGUAGAUAAUGUGCCCCUCUUGCGGGGGAUACCGUUUCGAAAGGAACGUUAAUACCGCAUAAAGUCCUUAGGAGGCAUCUCUUAGGGACCAAACUUCCGGGGCGGGAGGAGCAAUCUGCGUACUAUCAGCUAGUUGGUGAGGUAAUGGCUCACCAAGGCUACGACGGUUAACUGGUCUGAGAGGAUGAUCAGUCACACUGGAACUGAGACACGGUCCAGACUCCUACGGGAGGCAGCAGUGAGGAAUAUUGCACAAUGGGCGAAAGCCUGAUGCAGCGACGCCGCGUGGAGGAUGAAGGAUUUCGGUCUGUAAACUCCUGUCAGUAGGGAAGAGAAUGGAACGGUACCUACUGAGGAAGCUUCGGCUAACGUACGUGCCAGCAGCCGCGGU